AGUGAACGCUGGCGGUAGGCCUAACACAUGCAAGUCGAACGGCAGCACAGUAAGAGCUUGCUCUUACGGGUGGCGAGUGGCGGACGGGUGAGGAAUACAUCGGAAUCUACUUUUUCGUGGGGGAUAACGUAGGGAAACUUACGUUAAUACCGCAUACGACCUACGGGUGAAAGCAGGGGAUCUUCGGACCUUGCGCGAUUGAAUGAGCCGAUGUCGGAUUAGCUAGUUGGCGGGGUAAAGGCCCACCAAGGCGACGAUCCGUAGCUGGUCUGAGAGGAUGAUCAGCCACACUGGAACUGAGACACGGUCCAGACUCCUACGGGAGGCAGCAGUGGGGAAUAUUGGACAAUGGGCGCAAGCCUGAUCCAGCCAUACCGCGUGGGUGAAGAAGGCCUUCGGGUUGUAAAGCCCUUUUGUUGGGAAAGAAAAGCAGCAGGUUAAUACCCCGCUGUUCUGACGGUGCCCAAAGAAUAAGCACCGGCUAACUUCGUG
This 492-nucleotide ribosomal RNA is filed under the name uncultured bacterium. Its description in RNAcentral is "partial 16S ribosomal RNA". It matches the Rfam family "Bacterial small subunit ribosomal RNA", at positions 29 to 507 of the family's 1533-position model. The record is from RNAcentral.